This 136-nucleotide long non-coding RNA is filed under the name Homo sapiens (human). Its description in RNAcentral is "HSALNT0336122". Lineage: Eukaryota; Metazoa; Chordata; Mammalia; Primates; Hominidae. The record is from RNAcentral.
GUUCCUGCCUCUACAACCCCCAUCACAGAAGCAUUGUCACUUGUCUUCAGGCAUCUUCUCUCCCAUGGCAGCCCAUAGGAAGAAGAAAAAAGAGAAGAAAAUGACACUGAUAAUCCACAAAGAGGACUAAUACAAA